AGGACGAACGCUGGCGGCGCGCUUAAUACAUGCAAGUCGAACGUGAAACCGGGCUUGCCCGGUGAAAAGUGGCGAACGGGUGAGGAACACGUGAGAAACCUGCCCUGGACUUCGGAAUAACCAAGGGAAACUUUGGCUAAUACCGGAUGCCCUCAAUUGGUCGCAUGGCCGAUUGAGGAAAGAUUUAUCGGUCCAGGAUGGUCUCGCGGCCUAUCAGCUUGUUGGUGGGGUAACGGCCUACCAAGGCUCCGACGGGUAGCUGGUCUGAGAGGAUGUCCAGCCACACUGGGACUGAGACACGGCCCAGACUCCUACGGGAGGCAGCAGUAGGGAAUCUUGCACAAUGGGCGAAAGCCUGAUGCAGCGACGCCGCGUGUGGGAUGACAGCCCUUGGGUCGUAAACCACUUUCAGCAGGGACGAAUUGACGGUACCUGCAGAAGAAGCGCCGGCCAACUACGUGCCAGCGGCCGC
Molecule: ribosomal RNA, 472 nt
Filed under: uncultured bacterium
Lineage: Bacteria
Description: SSU rRNA
Rfam family: Bacterial small subunit ribosomal RNA
Source: RNAcentral